Molecule: ribosomal RNA, 651 nt
Filed under: Diploclisia glaucescens
Lineage: Eukaryota; Viridiplantae; Streptophyta; Magnoliopsida; Ranunculales; Menispermaceae
Description: eukaryotic LSU rRNA
Rfam family: 5.8S ribosomal RNA (bases 250-405)
Source: RNAcentral
AUUUAGAGGAAGGAGAAGUCGUAACAAGGUUUCCGUAGGUGAACCUGCGGAAGGAUCAUUGUCAAAACCUGUGCAGCAUGACCCGCGAAUCGUUUGCAAUCGUCUCUUGUACGAACUCGAGUCGCUCCAGUAGCCCUCGAGCGAACAACAACCGGCACGGCGAUGUGCCAAGGAAAUAACAAAUGGAAGUAACUCGUCUCAUUGGCGGCUUAGCCCGUGAGACGGUGUUGGCAUUCCGAAUUCUCGAAUGACUCUCGGCAACGGAUAUCUCGGCUCUCGCAUCGAUGAAGAACGUAGCGAAAUGCGAUACUUGGUGUGAAUUGCAGAAUCCCGUGAACCAUCGAGUCUUUGAAUGCAAGUUGCGCCCGAGGCCAUCAGGUCAAGGGCACGUCUGCCUGGGCGUCACGCUAUGCGCCACACUCGACCCCUACACAGCCAGUGAGAGGGAGGGAGUGGAAAUUGGCCUCCCGUGACCUGUGCACGGUUGGUUGAAAAAGAUUGUCCUUGGUAGCACGACGAUGCGAUCACAGGUGGUUUGAUGAAACCUCUUCAGCACGAUGUGAUCGAGCAUUUGCUAGCAGGGGCCAACGAGACCCUCGUGGAUUCAUUACCAUGCGACCCCAGGUCAGGCGGGGCCACCCGCUGAGUUUA